Non-coding RNA from Sus scrofa (pig), 453 nucleotides. NCBI's taxonomy places the organism in Eukaryota, Metazoa, Chordata, Mammalia, Artiodactyla, Suidae. The record is from RefSeq and is a predicted model, not a curated record.
CUUCGAGGCAUAUGGACUUUCGGGCCAGGGACCAGGGAUCAGACCCAGGCUGUAGCUGUGUCCGACACCGCAGCUGCGGUAAUGCUGGAUCCUUAACCCACUGUACCAGACCGGGGCUGGAACCUGCGUCCCUGUGCUCCCAAGAUGCCGAUGACCCCGCUGCGCCCCAGCAGGAACUCCUGCUUAUUGUCCUAUUCUGCUAAAAUAGAGGGCUCAUCAAGCUGCGGAUCUUUCUGUUGGCUGGUCCACAUGGGGUCCCCAGGGGAGCCACCCACUCGGGCACGCACGAUGCUGGGCUCCUGGCCCUGGCUCGCCUCUGCAACAGCCUGCACAGGGUCGCUGGCGACUGGCAGCUGCCCUGUCACAUCACUCUGUCACUUCCUUCCCCGUAUUUCAAAUUGAGCUUCUAAAGCCUGGAGCAGCUGCCUGUUUGAGAAGUCAUUAAAAAAAAAA